GACGAACGCUGGCGGCGUGCUUAACACAUGCAAGUCGAACGGAAAGGCCCUGCUUUUGUGGGGUGCUCGAGUGGCGAACGGGUGAGUAACACGUGAGUAACCUGCCCUUGACUUUGGGAUAACUUCAGGCAACUGGGGCUAAUACCGGCUAGGAGCUCCUGCUGCAUGGUGGGGGUUGGACAGUUUCGGCGGUUGGGGAUGGACUCGCGGCUUAUCAGCUUGUUGGUGGGGUAGUGGCUUACCAAGGCUUUGACGGGUAGCCGGCCUGAGAGGGUGACCGGCCACAUUGGGACUGAGAUACGGCCCAGACUCCUACGGGAGGCAGCAGGGGGGAAUAUUGCACAAUGGGCGGAAGCCUGAUGCAGCAACGCCGCGUGCGGGAUGACGGCCUUCGGGUUGUAAACCGCUUUCGCCUGUGACGAAGCGUGAGUGACGGUAAUGGGUAAAGAAGCACCGGCUAACUACGUG
This 468-nucleotide ribosomal RNA is filed under the name uncultured bacterium. RNAcentral's name for it is "partial 16S ribosomal RNA". It matches the Rfam family "Bacterial small subunit ribosomal RNA", at positions 28 to 507 of the family's 1533-position model. The record is from RNAcentral.